UUUAUAUAAAUUAAUAAAUUUUAUUGUUUGAUUGGAUUAUUUUUAUUUUUAUUUAAAGUUAUAUUAUUUGGUAUAGUUUGUUUUAGUAUUAAAAUUUUAAUUAAUAAUUAUAUUUUUAAAUGUGAAGGAUCUAUGAAUAAAAUAAAACAGUUGAUUUUUAGAGUGAAAAUGAUUUUUUCGUACCUUUUGUAUCAGGGUUUAAUGAAUAUUUUAUUAAUUAUUUGAUUUUCUCGAAUUAAUUAGAGUUAGUAUAUUAUUUAAGUUAAUGUUUAAUUAUUAUUUAAAUUAUUAUAUUAGAGGAGAAAUUCUAGUCAAUAAUUAAGAUAUCUAGUUUUUUAGAAAAUAAAUUUAAUUUAUUCAUUAUUUUUAAAUAUUAUUAAAAUUAAUUUUUGUUUUAAUUGAAUUGAUGGAAAGAAUUUAAGGGAUUAGCUUAAAUUUCAUAUUAAAAUAUUUAUUUAAGAGAAUUGAUAAAUUAUAGAUUUAAUAAUAGUUAUUAAUUAAAGUUUUUAAUAAUUUAUUUUAUUUUUUAUUAGGAUUUUUUAUUUAUUUUAAUUAUUUAUAAAAAUAUUUUAAUUAAUUAGUUAUUAUUAAUAUUAAUGAUAAAAUUAUUAUAUAUUUAUAUUAAGUAAUUAUAUUAAAAUUUAAUUGAAUUAAAAAUAUUGUUUUUAUAUGUUGAUAUAUAAUUUUAAGGAACUAGACAAAUUAAAAUAUUUACCUGUUUAACAAAAACAUGUCUUUUUGAAUUUAAUUUAAAGUCUAAUCUGCCCACUGAAAAAAUUUAAAUGGCCGCGGUAUUUUGACCGUGCAAAGGUAGCAUAAUCAUUAGUUUUUUAAUUGAAAGCUUGUAUGAAUGAUUGAAUAAAAUAUUGAUCGUCUCAAUUUUAUUUGUAUUAAAAUUUAAUUUUUAAAUUAAAAAGUUUAAAUUUAAUUAAAGGACGAGAAGACCCUGUAGAUUUUUAUAUUGAAAUAUUAAUUUUAAUUUAUUUUAUUUAUUAAAUCAAAUUUUUUAAUAUUUUGUUGGGGUGACAUUAAAAUUAAAUUAACUUUUAAUUUAUUUAUACAUUAAUUUAUGAAUUUUUAAUAUAUAUACAUAUGAUAUUAAUUAUUGAUCCUAUAUUUUAGAUUAGUAAAUUAAAAUACCUCAGGGAUAACAGCGUAAUUUAUUUGGAGAGAUCAUAUUAAUAAAUAAGUUUGCGACCUCGAUGUUGAAUUAAGAUAAUAAUUAGGCGGAGAUGCUUAAUUAAAUAGGUCUGUUCGACCUUUAAAUUCUUACAUGAUUUGAGUUCAGAUCGGCGUGAGCCAGAUCGGAUUCUAUCCUUAAUUAUUGGUAAAUAUUUUUGUACGAAAGGACUUAAUAUUUUAAAUAUUUUAUUUAUUAUAAUUUGAAUAAAAUUAAUUAUUG
Molecule: ribosomal RNA, 1402 nt
Filed under: Calameuta filiformis
Lineage: Eukaryota; Metazoa; Arthropoda; Insecta; Hymenoptera; Cephidae
Description: 16S ribosomal RNA
Source: RNAcentral